AACGGAGCAAUCCGGUCCGC
RNAcentral lists this small nuclear RNA (20 nucleotides) under Arabidopsis thaliana (thale cress). Its description in RNAcentral is "snRNA_08847". Lineage: Eukaryota; Viridiplantae; Streptophyta; Magnoliopsida; Brassicales; Brassicaceae. The record is from RNAcentral.